Molecule: ribosomal RNA, 115 nt
Filed under: Danio rerio (zebrafish)
Lineage: Eukaryota; Metazoa; Chordata; Actinopteri; Cypriniformes; Danionidae
Source: RNAcentral
GCCAGCAGCUAGCUUUCUGCAACUCUAACAUAGUCGCCCACUGAAGUUAAGCAGGGCUGUGCCUGGUCAGUACCUGGAUGGGAGACCACAUGGGAAAGCUAGGUUGCUGCUGGAA